RNAcentral lists this ribosomal RNA (547 nucleotides) under uncultured Pseudomonadota bacterium. Its description in RNAcentral is "bacterial SSU rRNA". It matches the Rfam family "Bacterial small subunit ribosomal RNA", at positions 358 to 896 of the family's 1533-position model. Lineage: Bacteria; Pseudomonadati; Pseudomonadota. The record is from RNAcentral.
GGAAUUUUGGACAAUGGGGGCAACCCUGAUCCAGCCAUGCCGCGUGAGUGAAGAAGGCCUUCGGGUUGUAAAGCUCUUUCGGUCGGGAAGAAAUCGCAUGGGUUAAUACCCUGUGCGGAUGACGGUACCGACAUAAGAAGCACCGGCUAACUACGUGCCAGCAGCCGCGGUAAUACGUAGGGUGCGAGCGUUAAUCGGAAUUACUGGGCGUAAAGCGUGCGCAGGCGGUUUUGUAAGACAGGCGUGAAAUCCCCGGGCUCAACCUGGGAACUGCGUUUGUGACUGCAAGGCUAGAGUAUGGCAGAGGGGGGUGGAAUUCCACGUGUAGCAGUGAAAUGCGUAGAGAUGUGGAGGAACACCGAUGGCGAAGGCAGCCCCCUGGGCCAAUACUGACGCUCAUGCACGAAAGCGUGGGUAGCAAACAGGAUUAGAUACCCUGGUAGUCCACGCCCUAAACGAUGUCAACUAGGUGUUGGGUGGGUAAAACCAUUUAGUACCGGAGCUAACGCGUGAAGUUGACCGCCUGGGGAGUACGGCCGCAAGGUUA